RNAcentral lists this transfer RNA (67 nucleotides) under Marmota monax (woodchuck). RNAcentral describes it as "tRNA.Val". Lineage: Eukaryota; Metazoa; Chordata; Mammalia; Rodentia; Sciuridae. The record is from RNAcentral.
AGAUGUAGCUUAGUGGGAGAGCACUUGCCUAACAUGUGCUAGAACCUGGGUUCAAUCCCCAGUACUG